This 912-nucleotide ribosomal RNA is filed under the name uncultured bacterium. RNAcentral describes it as "bacterial SSU rRNA". It matches the Rfam family "Bacterial small subunit ribosomal RNA", at positions 8 to 916 of the family's 1533-position model. The record is from RNAcentral.
AGAGUUUGAUCCUGGCUCAGAUUGAACGCUGGCGGCAUGCCUUACACAUGCAAGUCGAACGGUAACGCGGGGGCAACCCUGGCGACGAGUGGCGAACGGGUGAGUAAUACAUCGGAACAUAUCCAGUAGCGGGGGAUAACCUAUCGAAAGAUUGGCUAAUACCGCAUACGAUCUACGGAUGAAAGCAGGGGACCGCAAGGCCUUGCACUAUUGGAGUGGCCGAUGUCAGAUUAGCUAGUUGGUGGGGUAAAAGCCUACCAAGGCGACGAUCUGUAGCUGGUCUGAGAGGACGAUCAGCCACACUGGAACUGAGACACGGUCCAGACUCCUACGGGAGGCAGCAGUGGGGAAUUUUGGACAAUGGGCGCAAGCCUGAUCCAGCCAUGCCGCGUGAGUGAAGAAGGCCUUCGGGUUGUAAAGCUCUUUCGGUGAAGACGAAACGGUUAGCGCUAAUAACGCUGACUAAUGACGGUACUCACAGAAGAAGCACCGGCUAACUACGUGCCAGCAGCCGCGGUAAUACGUAGGGUGCAGGCGUUAAUCGGAAUUACUGGGCGUAAAGCGUGCGCAGGCGGUUUGCUAAGACAGGUGUGAAAUCCCCGGGCUUAACCUGGGAAUUGCGCUUGUAACUGGCAAGCUAGAGUGUGGCAGAGGGGGGUGGAAUUCCACGUGUAGCAGUGAAAUGCGUAGAUAUGUGGAGGAACACCGAUGGCGAAGGCAGCCCCCUGGGUUAACACUGACGCUCAGGCACGAAAGCGUGGGGAGCAAACAGGAUUAGAUACCCUGGUAGUCCACGCCCUAAACUAUGUCAACUAGUUGUCGGGGAAGAAAUUCCUUGGUAACGAAGCUAACGCGUGAAGUUGACCGCCUGGGGAGUACGGCCGCAAGGUUAAAACUCAAAUGAAUUGACGG